AGAGUUUGAUCAUGGCUCAGAAUCAACGCUGGCGGCGUGCCUAACACAUGCAAGUCGCACGAGAAAGGGACUUCGGUCCUGAGUACAGUGGCGCACGGGUGAGUAACACGUGAAUCAUCUACCUUCGAGUGGGGAAUAACUGAGAGAAAUCUUAGCUAAUACCGCAUAAUACCUACGGGUCAAAGCAGCAAUGCGCUUGAAGAGGAGUUCGCGGCAGAUUAGUUAGUUGGCGGGGUAAUGGCCCACCAAGACGAUGAUCUGUAUCCGGCCUGAGAGGGCGCACGGACACACUGGAACUGAAACACGGUCCAGACUCCUACGGGAGGCAGCAGUGGGGAAUUUUGCGCAAUGGGGGAAACCCUGACGCAGCAACGCCGCGUGGAGGAUGAAAUCCCUUGGGAUGUAAACUCCUUUCGAUAGGGAAGAUAAUGACGGUACCUAUAGAAGAAGCCCCGGCUAACUUCGUGCCAGCAGCCGCGGUAAUACGAGGGGGGCAAGCGUUGUUCGGAAUUAUUGGGCGUAAAGGGUGCGUAGGCGGUUUGACAAGUCUUAUGUGAAAUCUAUGGGCUCAACCCAUAGUCUGCAUGGGAAACUGUCGGGCUUGAGUAUGGGAGAGGUGAGUGGAAUUUCCGGUGUAGCGGUGAAAUGCGUAGAUAUCGGAAGGAACACCUGUGGCGAAAGCGGCUCACUGGACCAUAACUGACGCUGAUGCACGAAAGCUAGGGGAGCAAACAGGAUUAGAUACCCCGGUAGUCC
RNAcentral lists this ribosomal RNA (756 nucleotides) under uncultured bacterium. RNAcentral describes it as "bacterial SSU rRNA". It matches the Rfam family "Bacterial small subunit ribosomal RNA", at positions 8 to 796 of the family's 1533-position model. The record is from RNAcentral.